RNAcentral lists this long non-coding RNA (1935 nucleotides) under Physcomitrium patens. RNAcentral describes it as "long non-coding RNA (PPAT_LNC011986)". The record is from RNAcentral. Lineage: Eukaryota; Viridiplantae; Streptophyta; Bryopsida; Funariales; Funariaceae.
CCGGUCAUGAUUUCCGUGGCUCCGUGACCGAAUUUUGUACUUCGCUGGUUUUAGCAACAAAGGCCGGCGACUAGCUUGAGUGCCAAUUCAUCCGUAGCCGGUUCCCUCGACAGGGAUUAAGACAUAUCCCACGUCAUCCUUCACCGCGAGACUAGGCAAAUCUUCACCCUUCACUGUAGGAAUUUUACACAUUUCCAGCUCAUACCCUGGCGAGCACCUUUUUGGAGCAUUGCGGCCGCUGCUCAUCGACAAAUCAUGCUAGGUGGGGAAUUAUCAGAAUAGGGAGAUUAUGUGAGUUAGGUGUGGCGUCUGGCCGCGUUCGUGCCUUUGGAUACCCCACCUUGAGACGUGUUUUCUCAGCAACUGCAUUACCUGUAAUGGCAUAAAAAAGGGAGAGAAGUUUAUGUUUAUUUUUAUUUUUUAUGCCCUUGUUGGUGGGACCCAGUCUAACAAUCGAAGAGUUCUCCCCAAUCUUAUUCUUGCUCUGAUCACGUCAUGUUUUCUUUAGUGUUUUGGUCCCAAAGCAUUUGAGACACUAGGUGUCAACCAUGUUUAUGUGCAGAUCGGCGAUGGAAGGAGGAGGUUCGACCUUGGGAACUGAAAUAUAUAAUCAGCUUCUUCGGCUGCAUGAUGCUCCGCUACCAGGUCAAUUGCCCGGAACCCAUUCCCGACGUCUUCUCAGGGAUUGAAAUUUCCACUGAGACAGAGAAAUUCAAGCUGAUCUUGAAGCAACUUUUAUUCUUUCUCCUCUCAUAAGUUCAAAGGCGAGUUACAACUGUGAGGCAAUGGGUCACCCAUUUUCGCUAACUGAGCCCAUGGACAAAUUGUUCGCACCAUCGUAAACCUCAAUUUGUUCUACAUAUUCUGUCAGACUUUGCGGAGGUAUUCGUGAAUACUUACGUAAAAAAGUGGCUUGUGAAUUAAAUCUGAGUAUAAAACAUCUAUGGCGCCGUCGGUGAUGGUGAGGUAUCAUUUGUUGUAUGAACUGGGAAUGUACUACUCUACUGACUGACCAUUCGCCCCAAGGAUAUGCUUUUCCUGCCUCCCACAAACAUUUUCAAUAAGCAUCUCAGUUUCUUCGUCAAAGCUGCUGCUGCAAAAGCCAUUCUUGACAAAGUUGAAAAAGGUUCUUAGAUCCUGCUGAAAUCGGGGUGAUGGUUGUCGUAUCUGUGGCGAAUUCAAUAACCUUGGUAGACUCGACAGAGUUCUGCGAUUUUCUCUCUCUUGCGCAAUCCAAUUCGAGGAAAUACGUGUAUUUGUCUUAGAGGAGAGUGAUGUGACAGAACUGAUACAGUGUGUCGUGAAUUGCACAAGAGAAAGUCGGACCUUACAGAAAACCUGGGAUUUAACAUCACUUAUGGAAUCCGGAUGUAACAGCUCGUACCUCGAAAAGACAAAACCUAGCAUUUCAUUUUCUAUUGUUAUUUUGUGUAAGAAUGCUGAGUCAAUGUCGGACAUGGAUAUAGUUGAUCCGACUGCCAUGCAUACCAUAAUCAAUGAAAAACGAAAAAGUACACAUAUUUUUUUAAAUAGAGAUGAUAGUUUGACUGUGACCACUAAUUUCAUCUGUGAGGGUCUGUGAACCCGACUGCCUUCUCGACUGACAUUAGCAUCUACAACAUGAUCUCACAAAUCAAUUGGAACUAUAAUUUGCUCUUCCAUGGUACAAUCUUCAAAGUGUGCCCGUAACUCAGGACAGUGUGCCAAUUAGUUCGUUUACAAUUAGAUCGUUGGUUUUCGGAACGACGAGUUUGUACUGCUACAGUGAUAUCUCUUAGUUGCGUUUCCUGGAAUGGUAGAUCCUGACACUUUGGUUCUGUUCAAUUUCGUAAUCUUGCUAAUCCUGACAAGAAUUGCUUCUCUUCUUCCUGGACCCGAAAGCUAAGUGGGCCGUCUUGUAUGACUUUUGUGUGAUGAGUAAGAAAAGCAUUUAGU